GAUGAAGAACGUAGCGAAAUGCGAUAAGUAAUGUGAAUUGCAGAACUCAGUGAAUCAUCGAAUCUUUGAACGCACAUUGCGCCCUGUGGUAUUCCGCAGGGCAUGCCUGUUCGAGCGUCAUUUCAACCCUCAAGCUCUGCUUGGUGUUGGGCCCUGCCCGCUGCGGCCGGCCCUAAAGACAGUGGCGGUGCCGCCUGGCCCUGAGCGUAGUACAUCUCUCGCUCCAGUGCCCGGUGGUAGCCUGCCAGAACCCCAACUCUCGUGGUUGACCUCGGAUCAGGUAGGGAUACCCGCUGAACUUAAGCAUAUCAAUAAGCGGAGGA
Molecule: unclassified non-coding RNA, 323 nt
Filed under: soil metagenome
Description: partial contains 5.8S ribosomal RNA, internal transcribed spacer 2, and large subunit ribosomal RNA
Rfam family: 5.8S ribosomal RNA (bases 1-120)
Source: RNAcentral